RNAcentral lists this non-coding RNA (24 nucleotides) under Mus musculus (house mouse). Lineage: Eukaryota; Metazoa; Chordata; Mammalia; Rodentia; Muridae. The record is from RNAcentral.
UAAAAGCAUCAAAAUAAAUUAUAA